GACGAACGCUGGCGGCGUGCUUAACACAUGCAAGUCGAACGGAAAGGCCCUGCUUUUGUGGGGUGCUCGAGUGGCGAACGGGUGAGUAACACGUGAGUAACCUGCCCUUGACUUUGGGAUAACUUCAGGAAACUGGGGCUAAUACCGGAUAGGAGCUCCUGCUGCAUGGUGGGGGUUGGAAAGUUUCGGCGGUUGGGGAUGGACUCGCGGCUUAUCAGCUUGUUGGUGGGGUAGUGGCUUACCAAGGCUUUGACGGGUAGCCGGCCUGAGAGGGUGACCGGCCACAUGGGGACUGGGAUACGGCCCAGACCCCUACGGGAGGCAGCAGGGGGGAAUAUUGCACAAUGGGGGGAAGCCGGAUGCAGCAACGCCGCGGGGGGGAUGACGGCCUUCGGGUUGUAAACCGCUUUCGCCUGUGACGAAGCGGGGGUGACGGUAAUGGGUAAAGAAGCACCGGCAAACUACGU
Molecule: ribosomal RNA, 467 nt
Filed under: uncultured bacterium
Lineage: Bacteria
Description: partial 16S ribosomal RNA
Rfam family: Bacterial small subunit ribosomal RNA
Source: RNAcentral